GUGGGGAAUUUUGGACAAUGGGCGCAAGCCUGAUCCAGCCAUGCCGCGUGCGGGAAGAAGGCCUUCGGGUUGUAAACCGCUUUUGUCAGGGAAGAAAUCUUCUGGGCUAAUACCUCGGGAGGAUGACGGUACCUGAAGAAUAAGCACCGGCUAACUACGUGCCAGCAGCCGCGGUAAUACGUAGGGUGCAAGCGUUAAUCGGAAUUACUGGGCGUAAAGCGUGCGCAGGCGGUUGUGCAAGACAGGUGUGAAAUCCCCGGGCUUAACCUGGGAACUGCAGUUGUGACUGCACGGCUGGAGUGCGGCAGAGGGGGAUGGAAUUCCGCGUGUAGCAGUGAAAGGCGUAGAUAUGCGGAGGAACACCGAUGGCGAAGGCAAUCCCCUGGGCCUGCACUGACGCUCAUGCACGAAAGCGUGGGGAGCAAACAGGAUUAGAUACCCGGGUAGUCC
This 450-nucleotide ribosomal RNA is filed under the name uncultured bacterium. Its description in RNAcentral is "partial 16S ribosomal RNA". It matches the Rfam family "Bacterial small subunit ribosomal RNA", at positions 354 to 796 of the family's 1533-position model. The record is from RNAcentral.